AGGAUGUAAACAUGCAAAUGCCGUUUAUGGUUGUGGGCCAUGGCCCAUGUGGUAUUCAUGGUAACGUUGCUGUUGCGAAAUUAGCGUGACAACAAAUUUUGUUUCGGGACGUUUGUCUGGAAAGAAAGUUUCAAUAGAGCAGCGGUGUCAAUGGGUAGGACUAGGUCUAAUGAUUUAAUAUCAUUAACCUCUAUAUAUUUCUCAAAAAUGGGUA
Molecule: long non-coding RNA, 214 nt
Filed under: Elaeis guineensis (African oil palm)
Lineage: Eukaryota; Viridiplantae; Streptophyta; Magnoliopsida; Arecales; Arecaceae
Description: long non-coding RNA (EGUI_LNC015770)
Source: RNAcentral